AAGCGGAGGAAAAGAAGCUAACAAGGAUUCCCUUAGUAACUGCGAGUGAAGCGGGAAAAAGCUCAAAUUUAAAAUCUGGCGGUCUUCGGCCGUCCGAGUUGUAGUCUGGAGAAGUGCUUUCCGCGCUGGACCGUGUACAAGUCUCCUGGAAUGGAGCGUCGUAGAGGGUGAGAAUCCCGUCUUUGACACGGACUACCAGUGCUCUGUGAUGCGCUCUCAAAGAGUCGAGUUGUUUGGGAAUGCAGCUCAAAAUGGGUGGUGAAUUCCAUCUAAAGCUAAAUAUUGGCGAGAGACCGAUAGCGAACAAGUACCGUGAGGGAAAGAUGAAAAGCACUUUGGAAAGAGAGUUAAACAGUACGUGAAAUUGUUGAAAGGGAAACGCUUGAAGUCAGUCGCGUCUGCCAGAACUCAGCCUUGCAAUCUUGCCUGGUGUACUUUCUGGUGGACGGGCCAGCAUCAAUUUUGACUGCCGGACAAGGGCUGGGGGAAUGUGGCACCUUCGGGUGUGUUAUAGCCCCUGGUCGCAUACGGUGGUUGGGAUUGAGGAAUUCAGCAUGCCUUUAUGGUCGGGGUUCGCCCACGUUCAUGCUUAG
This 593-nucleotide ribosomal RNA is filed under the name Hericium coralloides. Its description in RNAcentral is "eukaryotic LSU rRNA". It matches the Rfam family "Eukaryotic large subunit ribosomal RNA", at positions 48 to 616 of the family's 3401-position model. Lineage: Eukaryota; Fungi; Basidiomycota; Agaricomycetes; Russulales; Hericiaceae. The record is from RNAcentral.